UCACUUUCAACAACGGAUCUCUUGGCUCUCGCAUCGAUGAAGAACGUAGCGAAGUGCGAUAAGUAGUGUGAAUUGCAGAAUUCCGUGAAUCAUCGAAUUUUUGAACGCAAAUGGCGCUUCCUGGCAUCCCGGGAAGUAUGCCUGUUUGAGGGUCAGUAUU
Molecule: ribosomal RNA, 160 nt
Filed under: uncultured Glomus
Lineage: Eukaryota; Fungi; Glomeromycota; Glomeromycetes; Glomerales; Glomeraceae
Description: 5.8S ribosomal RNA
Rfam family: 5.8S ribosomal RNA
About the family: 5.8S ribosomal RNA (5.8S rRNA) is a component of the large subunit of the eukaryotic ribosome. It is transcribed by RNA polymerase I as part of the 45S precursor that also contains 18S and 28S rRNA.
Source: RNAcentral